GAUGAACGCUGGCGGCGUGCCUAAUACAUGCAAGUCGAGCGAACGGACGAGAAGCUUGCUUCUCUGAUGUUAGCGGCGGACGGGUGAGUAACACGUGGAUAACCUACCUAUAAGACUGGGAUAACUUCGGGAAACCGUAGCUAAUACCGGAUAAUAUUUUGAACCGCAUGGUUCAAAAGUGAAAGACGGUCUUUCUGUCACUUAUAGAUGGAUCCGCGCUGCAUUAGCUAGUUGGUAAGGUAACGGCUUACCAAGGCAACGAUGCAUAGCCGACCUGAGAGGGUGAUCGGCCACACUGGAACUGAGACACGGUCCAGACGCCUACGGGAGGCAGCAGUAGGGAAUCUUCCGCAAUGGGCGAAAGCAUGACGGAGCAAAGCCGCGUGAGUGAUGAAGGUCUUCGGAUCGUAAAACUCUGUUAUUAGGGAAGAACAUAUGUGUAAGUAACUGUGCACAGCUUGACGGUACCUAAUCAGAAAGCCACGGCUAACUACGUG
This 497-nucleotide ribosomal RNA is filed under the name uncultured bacterium. Its description in RNAcentral is "partial 16S ribosomal RNA". It matches the Rfam family "Bacterial small subunit ribosomal RNA", at positions 28 to 507 of the family's 1533-position model. The record is from RNAcentral.